Molecule: ribosomal RNA, 253 nt
Filed under: uncultured bacterium
Lineage: Bacteria
Description: partial 16S ribosomal RNA
Rfam family: Bacterial small subunit ribosomal RNA
Source: RNAcentral
UACGUAGGGGGCUAGCGUUGUCCGGAAUCAUUGGGCGUAAAGCGCGUGUAGGCGGUCCGGUAAGACCGCUGUGAAAGUCGAGGGCUCAACCCUCGAAUGCCGGUGGAUACUGUCGGGCUAGAGUACGGAAGAGGCGAGUGGAAUUCCUGGUGUAGCGGUGAAAUGCGUAGAGAUGCGGAGGAACACCGAUGGCGAAGGCAGCCCCCUGGGCCGACAUUGACGCUCAGGCACGAAAGCGUGGGGAGCAAACAGG